Molecule: ribosomal RNA, 318 nt
Filed under: uncultured bacterium
Lineage: Bacteria
Description: bacterial SSU rRNA
Rfam family: Bacterial small subunit ribosomal RNA
Source: RNAcentral
AGCUGCAGAAGAAGCACCGGCUAACUCCGUGCCAGCAGCCGCGGUAAUACGGAGGGUGCGAGCGUUUAAUCGGAAUUACUGGGCGUAAAGCGCAUGCAGGUGGUUUGUUAAGUCAGAUGUGAAAGCCCGGGGCUCAACCUCGGAAUUGCAUUUGAAACUGGCAAACUAGAGUACUGUAGAGGGGGUAGAAUUUCAGGUGUAGCGGUGAAAUGCGUAGAGAUCUGAAGGAAUACCGGUGGCGAAGGCGGCCCCCUGGACAGAUACUGACACUCAGAUGCGAAAGCGUGGGGAGCAAACAGGAUUAGAUACCCUCGGUAG